AGAGUUUGAUCCUGGCUCAGAUUGAACGCUGGCGGCAGGCCUAACACAUGCAAGUCGAACGGUAACAGGAUGUGCUUGCACAUCGCUGACGAGUGGCGGACGGGUGAGUAAUGCUUAGGGAUCUGCCUCUGUGUGGGGGAUAACUAUUGGAAACGAUAGCUAAUACCGCAUAAUGUUUACGGACCAAAGGGGGCGUUUGCUCCCGCGCAGAGAGGAACCUAAGUGAGAUUAGCUAGUUGGUAAGGUAAUGGCUUACCAAGGCGACGAUCUCUAGCUGUUCUGAGAGGAAGAUCAGCCACACUGGGACUGAGACACGGCCCAGACUCCUACGGGAGGCAGCAGUGGGGAAUAUUGCACAAUGGGGGGAACCCUGAUGCAGCCAUGCCGCGUGUGUGAAGAAGGCCUUCGGGUUGUAAAGCACUUUCAGUUGUGAGGAAAGGUUAGUAGUUAAUACCUGCUAGCUGUGACGUUAGCAACAGAAGAAGCACCGGCUAACUCCGUGCCAGCAGCCGCGGUAAUACGGAGGGUGCGAGCGUUAAUCGGAAUUACUGGGCGUAAAGCGCACGCAGGCGGUUUGUUAAGCUAGAUGUGAAAGCCCCGAGCUCAACUUGGGAUGGUCAUUUAGAACUGGCAGACUAGAGUCUUGGAGAGGGGAGUGGAAUUUCUAGUGUAGCGGUGAAAUGCGUAGAUAUUAGAAGGAACAUCAGUGGCGAAGGCGACUCCCUGGCCAAAGACUGACGCUCAUGUGCGAAAGUGUGGGUAGCGAACAGGAUUAGAUACCCUGGUAGUCCACACCGUAAACGCUGUCUACUAGCUGUUUGUGAGUUUAACUCGUGAGUAGCGAAGCUAACGCGCUAAGUAGACCGCCUGGGGAGUACGGCCGCAAGGUUAAAACUCAAAUGAAUUGACGGGGGCCCGCACAAGCGGUGGAGCAUGUGGUUUAAUUCGAUGCGACGCGAAGAACCUUACCUACACUUGACAUUCAGCGAACUUAGCAGAGAUGCUUUGGUGCCUUCGGGAACCCUGGGACAGGUGCUCCAUGGCUUUCUUCACCUCCUGUCCUGAGAAAUUUGGGUUAAAUCUCCCACCAACUCCG
Molecule: ribosomal RNA, 1096 nt
Filed under: uncultured bacterium
Lineage: Bacteria
Description: bacterial SSU rRNA
Rfam family: Bacterial small subunit ribosomal RNA
Source: RNAcentral